UCGCCGAUUAUUCCGUGAAGUUGAAGUGUUACUGCUGGAAAGUAAAUCAACAUCAGCCCUUAUCAGCACCGAAAGAUUCUGUAUAUAAAGGGCACUUCAGCUUCAACAAGCAGUAUCUGCGAGUUAGUUGUGUCAUUGCUAAACAAGACAAGUGCUAUUCAAUAUAUGUAACUGAAUUUAAAUAAAUUUAAUAUAAAGCAACUGUAGUAAGAGUAUAUUUUCUCCGGAGAAAUACGAUCGCAUGCCUUCAAAAAUGACCAGAAUCGCGCUAUUGUUCUUCGGAAUUUUGCUGUGUUUCACCAUUGCCAUUUUCGAAAAAGCCGACGCCCUCGACUGCUACACUAUGCCUCGAUUUAACGAUAAUGACAGAAAGACAUGCACCGGAGCUAAUGAUGUUUGCUACAAAACCCGAACACUGCUGCCAGGCACGCCAGAAGUCGUCACGAAGGGAUGUUCCGAUCGCAGCAAUAAGAACAUGGAUUGCAGUUGGUCAGUGCAAAACACAAUUCAAAACUGUUACUGCGAUGGAAAUUUAUGCAAUUCAGCCGUUAAAGCCGGACAACUUGGUUUCCUGGGAGUGAUUUGUAGCAUGGUUGUUAUGGCUGUAACACGAGCUCUUUUCUAAAUCUGAUGCUCGGCGGUUACCAAUUGUGGUAUAUUUUUUUUAAUAAUGUCGUAAAGCGCUGCCGAUUUUUGGGCACUUGUACAGGUAUUUUUUACAUGUUAUUUAUGUGAUUCACUCACUUGAUAUUCUACAACUUAAAUGCGUAAUAUUAUUUACCCGAGAUUGUUGAUUUUUUAGCUUCCUCAACCUAAGAAUGUUGUGAUUAAUAAAACCUACCAAACCAGAAGAAAAAUUUAAUUGUGUUCGA
Paramacrobiotus metropolitanus is the source of this 872-nucleotide long non-coding RNA. RefSeq lists it as uncharacterized. NCBI's taxonomy places the organism in Eukaryota, Metazoa, Tardigrada, Eutardigrada, Parachela, Macrobiotidae. The record is from RefSeq and is a predicted model, not a curated record. The transcript has 3 exons.